GACGAACGCUGGCGGCGCGCUUAACACAUGCAAGUCGAACGGUAAGGCCCUUCGGGGUACACGAGUGGCGAACGGGUGAGUAACACGUGGGUGAUCUGCCCUGCACUUCGGGAUAAGCCUGGGAAACUGGGUCUAAUACCGGAUAGGACUCCUGCCUGCAUGGGUGGGGGUGGAAAGCUUUUGCGGUGUGGGAUGGGCCCGCGGCCUAUCAGCUUGUUGGUGGGGUGAUGGCCUACCAAGGCGACGACGGGUAGCCGGCCUGAGAGGGUGACCGGCCACACUGGGACUGGGAUACGGCCCAGACUCCUACGGGAGGCAGCAGUGGGGAAUAUUGCACAAUGGGCGCAAGCCUGAUGCAGCGACUCCGCGUGAGGGAUGACGGCCUUCGGGUUGUAAACCUCUUUCAGCACAGACGAAGCGCAAGUGACGGUAUGUGCAGAAGAAGGACCGGCCAACUACGUGCCAGCCGCCGCCGUAA
This 478-nucleotide ribosomal RNA is filed under the name uncultured bacterium. Its description in RNAcentral is "partial 16S ribosomal RNA". It matches the Rfam family "Bacterial small subunit ribosomal RNA", at positions 28 to 523 of the family's 1533-position model. The record is from RNAcentral.